AUUUAUCAAUAUUAGAUGAAUCAAGUUAUAUAUAAAAAGAUACUUUUCAUCCCUUAGCAGCAGUACUGUGUUAUAAUGGGAUGAAAGCCUCGCUAUAAAGGGGAACAUGAUUUGCUUGAAUAGACUUCCCUCUAUUUAGCUGGAGUGGUGAGGUAAAUCACGCUCGGACGUUAUGCAGGAAGUACGUGCUGGGGUGUAAUAGAAUUAGUAUUCCGCAAACUCGCUAUAUUGACGGCCAACUCACACUGUUGAUAUGUGGUAUCCGAUGCACGUGGAAUAAUGAAUAUUGAUAUCGCGACAGGAGACAUGUCUUCAAUGGAGUAUCUUCAGCUGUCUGAGAGACCGAUAGAGAAGAUAAAGACCUUUUUAUCCCAGUCGGCGACAGAGGAUCAAGUGCAAAUCUUGUCAGGCCAAAAUGUGGUUAUUGAUAUGAACGAACCCAUUGAAGAAGGGACCAGUGACACCUCACCAAGACACAACGCACCACAUUCACACAGCAUACCGUUAUCGCCUGUACAGCUACAGUUCCUGAAGGACAUGCGUGCUGCUUUACAAACUUUACGUGAACACUUGGCGAAGGAGGGCUUCAAUUGCAUGUUCAACUUCGAGGAAUCUACAGUUACCAUUGGUUCAAGUGGAUCAAAGAGUGACCAUGUAGCCCUUCAGAUAAUCAAGGACAGUAUUGUUGAGAUGGACUUCCCUGCUGAUCUGAUCCCUUUUAUGGACGAUGGAAUGAAUGCCUUGCCAACAGGAGAUGAUCUUGAAAUUUUAGUCGUCAAAGAAGGUCCUUUGGUGAAGUUAAUUGGAAUGGCAAAUGCUGUAAUGGUCGUUGGUGAUCAUUUGCAAAGAUCUCAAGAACUACUUAAAUCUCGCUCGUUAGUAAUAAGAUGUGUAACGAUAAACCUGUCUGAACACUGCGCCAGUUACUUACGUCAGCACAAAGAACAUCACCUAAAAGCUUGUACAAGCCAUCUAGAAGGGGUGCAGUUGGAAAUAACACAAAGAACAAUUGAGAUCAAAGGCCCAACUCAAGCAUCGGAAGAAGCAGCGAGGAUUGUAAAUGAGGAAAUCAAAGGCGUCUCUAGUUACCCUAUUACCCUGGGUUGUGUGAUAAGUAUCAUAACUGUCGGCGAGGUGUCACAGACAGUGGGGGAGAAGUAUAAAUGCAACAUAACACCCCAGCAACAUAUUGGCUUCAUGGAUCAGGUAGUGUCUAAGGGACUUGAUGAUCUCACACUGAAAAUAGCGCGCCGGAAGAAUACUCGGAUAAUACCGGUCAUCAAUGCCAUUGAGAAGCAAGAGGCAGAUGUGAUAGUGAAUACAACAAAUAUCAACUUGGAUCUGAAUCAAGGUGAGGGUGUAUCGUCCUGCAUUCUGAAGGCUGCUGGCCAGACUAUUCAGAAACAACUGAGAGAGAAGUAUCCAAAUGGCUUAAAACAUGAUGAAGUCGCCGAAACUGGCCCUGGGAAUCUUAAGACAUGCAAGACCAUCUACCAUGGCGCAUUGCCAUAUUUCCCAAAGAGAAACAGUCCAAACUAUCAACAGAAAGAGAAUGAUUGUUUCAAAUGGAUGAUUUCUUUGGUGUUCAACUGUCUCAUCAGGGCAUCUGAAAAAGGAUAUCAGACCAUUGCUUUCCCAGCCAUUGGAACUGGAGCUCUGAAGUACCCAGUCGAAUAUGUUGUCCAGCUGAUGUACAAAGCGAUUGGACUUUUCAAAGACGACAUAAGAUCAGGAUCGAUCAGAGAGAUCAUCUUUGUGAUAUUCCCAGAAACGCAGCUCCCUGUGAAGCAGCUAUUCCUCGCACAUGGCCAUACAAACAAGCUGAUGACAAGACAACUUGCAGCAGUUGAUGAGUUCCACAAAGAGAAGAGAAAGAAACAAACCCCGAGAUGGGAAGCUCGUGUCCACGUCGGUAAUACUCUGCUACAGGUCGUACACGCUGGUGUACAUGAGGCAUCGGACGUUACUGAGGCUGUCCUCGUCCUCUGGACCGAUGAGCAGAUACGAGAUCCAAAACAGAACCAAGGGCUCAAGUCCACAGCUCCUGAUAAGACAGACUGGAUGUGCACUUCAUAUGUAUGUGAGCUUCCUGAGGCCAAAUGCACAGCUGACAGUACAAACCUGCCCUCAAUGACGUUGCUUCACUCGUACUGGGACGGCAACAGCAACACUUCCGCCGUUAAAGCCAUUGCAGAGGGCAUCAAAACCGCCGCCAAAACGAAAUGCAACACUAUCACCAUACCCAUAGAUGUUUUAGGACCGAAGGCGAACACACCUCUGGCUGCAGCAGGGGUAGUCUUUAAUGGGCUGACCAAGGCCAGUGACUGUGUCUUUGUUGUCACUGUCAUGAUCCCCGAUGUGCACUUCUUCCCAACAUUUGCCACGAAGGUAAUAGAGCUGUGCAACAACCAGCUGCAAGCCCCUGUGGAUAUUGACAAGUCUCCAGUUGCAGUUGAGUUAUGGACGAAGAGCUAUGCUGACAAAGCGUCCCAAUCUCAGAGGAAUCAAUUGGCUAACAUGUUGAUGACCAUUCCUGGAUCAGUGUACCUGGUCACAUCAGACUCACAGGAAAGGAAUAAGAUGGCUGCUGAAGACUUUAAGAAAGAGGUGCUCAAAAGGCUGCAAACUGAUCCCAGUCAUACAAGCAGCACAAUUAAGCUCGGAUGAGAACCCCCCGGAUAUAUAAUGUGAGCGCCCCCUAGUGGUAGAAAAUCCAAGAUGGCCGCCAGCAUAGCUGAAAUCUCAGCAUCACACCUAGCUAGUGUCCCAUACACUGACACUUCCUGUUUUAAAGAGGUUAUCGGACAACGCAAAGGUUACGCUGCACGGUUAUUCAGUCCGCCCGCCAUUGUUGUUGUGGUGACUACAGCAGUGAC
This 2876-nucleotide unclassified non-coding RNA is filed under the name Haliotis rufescens (red abalone). RNAcentral describes it as "uncharacterized LOC125378263, transcript variant X3". Lineage: Eukaryota; Metazoa; Mollusca; Gastropoda; Lepetellida; Haliotidae. The record is from RNAcentral.